UCGUCAAAUUCGUCAGAUUUGUCGAGAGAUUUGUGCACAUGAAUGAAAUAGUUGUCACUUGACGUUUAACUACAAACAAAAUCAAUCAACCGACAUAAUAGAUUAACAGUAUACUAUUCCAAGAAGAGAACCUCAUAUACAUUUUUUUUUAUUAAAAGGCACAAAUGAAUUUAGACAUGUCAGUGUUGGUACAUGUACUUGGAUGAUGCAGCCUAAUAGUUUUGUUUUACCCACCCUAGUGACUGUUCAAUAUUAUGAAUACAGAGAUGAAACGCUGACAUUCUCAAUUGAUGCGGAAAAAAAAUUGCAUUAAUUGUUUUCCUUAUUGCUUACAUUUGCCGUCCUACUAAAAUGUUCACAGGUGUGCAAGGAGAAGACAUAAAGGCGCCAUCCCUACAGCGGUCAUUUUUUUUAUACAUUGAAUCCAGACAUAAAAAAUAUGGCUGAUUUACUAUGCGGAUAUAUAUAGAUUUUUAAA
Molecule: long non-coding RNA, 478 nt
Filed under: Mytilus galloprovincialis (Mediterranean mussel)
Lineage: Eukaryota; Metazoa; Mollusca; Bivalvia; Mytilida; Mytilidae
Source: RNAcentral